CUGUGACUCCUACGGGGAGGCAGCAGUGGGGAAUAUUGCACAAUGGGGGAAACCCUGAUGCAGCCAUGCCGCGUGUGUGAAGAAGGCCUUCGGGGUUGUAAAGCACUUUCAGUAGGGAGGAAGGUAGUGUAGUUAACACCUGCAUUAUUUGACGUUACCUACAGAAGAAGCACCGGCUAACUCCGUGCCAGCAGCCGCGGUAAUACGGAGGGUGCGAGCGUUAAUCGGAAUUACUGGGCGUAAAGCGCAUGCAGGCGGCCAGUUAAGUCAGAUGUGAAAGCCCGGGGCUUAACCUCGGAAUUGCAUUUGAAACUGGCAGGCUAGAGUCUUGUAGAGGGGGGUAGGAAUUUCAGGUGUAGCGGUGAAAUGCGUAGAGAUCUGAAGGAAUACCAGUGGCGAAGGCGGCCCCCUGGACAAAGACUGACGCUCAGAUGCGAAAGCGUGGGGAGCAAACAGGAUUAGAUACCCUGGUAG
Molecule: ribosomal RNA, 474 nt
Filed under: uncultured bacterium
Lineage: Bacteria
Description: bacterial SSU rRNA
Rfam family: Bacterial small subunit ribosomal RNA
Source: RNAcentral